Molecule: long non-coding RNA, 6655 nt
Organism: Sapajus apella (tufted capuchin)
Lineage: Eukaryota; Metazoa; Chordata; Mammalia; Primates; Cebidae
Exons: 2
Source: RefSeq, a predicted model, not a curated record
AUGCUCUUGAUACAAAUUUCAAACAAUACAGACAUACACAGAGGGAAAAGAAAAGGGGCCCUUCCCCUACCUCCUUUUCACAUCUGAAAGAACCCUGGAAUUGAACAGACCUGAAUUCAAAUUUAGAUGUCACUGCUGAUCAGUUUUAUGUAUGUUGCAUUAGCUGUGUACUCAACAAGCCUUGAUUUUCUCCUAUGUAAAGUGACUAUGCCAACAAUGGCCUUGUAGGAUUUUUGUGAGGAUAUAGUGAAUGUGUGCAGAGGCCUGGCUGGUGGUAGGCACUGUGACAAUUAUCCUUGUUGGUGGGUUGAUUGCCUGUUCUCUGUGUCAUGUGUACUCGGCAGACUCCAGUUGAUAUCAUACUAGAAAAUAAUUUCCUCUUUCUGAUAAAUGCUGGCCCUUUUCUGCAAGAUUGCUUUAAAAUCGGAGCCAAUGGAGUCAUGAAGCUGUGAGCUCUCCAUGCAGGAGACAGUGUUUCCAGCAGCUUGAGGGGCUGCCGCUUCCCCACUGAGCUUCAGCAGGUGUCCUAGUGCAAGGCUGUCCUAUUCUUUGACUAGCAAGAUCUUUUCAGCCUUUUAUGAGGAUGGGCACACUCUGGAUAUCUAUUUCUGAGAACUCUGACAUUCGGGAGAGAAGAAUCAGGUGAGAGAAAUCCCAGCUUGGAUGGACAUUCUCUGAAUGUCCCCUUGGAACAUCUGCCUGCUCAAAAUUUUAGGCAUGACACCAUAAACCCUGCUAUUUAUAUUGCACUAAAUUCUGCAAAUAUCUUUAGUAACACUAAACCCUCGGUUUUAACUGCAUCUCUAAUUAUAACCUUUUUAAGAUUUACGGUGGUGUCAUGCCAUCCUGAUUAAAGUGCCGUGAUGAGCAAGGCUGUUGGCGCCUAGUGACAGCGCUGCUGAUGAGAAGGUGUCACUAAAGCUGACCUUCCAUCACUUCCUAAGUGAGCCAUCACUUAGGAUGGAUGCAGAGGUACCAAUGAGCCACUGGUCUUGAUCCCAGGAUCAAAAGCCUCUCAGGCGAGGCAUCUCCCUGUGUGGUCUUCAGGAGCCAGCAUGCUGUGUGAUUCCCAGGGAGCCAGAGGAAGCCAUGCUCUUGUGAUGGCAUACUUAUAUCAUUGGCCUCGUGUCAUUUGUCUACCUGAUCAGCAGCUGCUAUGAGUAUGCCUGAAUGAGCAGCAGGCUCUGUAAGAGCUCAGUCAGCAAGUAGAGAUGUUAAAUUAUCCCAUGUGUUUAUCAAAAGUUUAUUGAGCACCUUUUGUGGCAGAAACAUGGGCUAUAAUAACAAUGACCAUUGAUUGAAUUUGUGGAGGGGGAUGGGCACUGAUAGAAACCAGUUUGAACUCACUACGUUUAUGAGGAAUCCAUACUGAGAAGGGAGAGGUAGAGGCGGGAGUGGCAAGAGGGACAAGUCGAGGGCUGAUGCAGCUUCCACAAAACCUCAGCCAACCCAGAGACAGCUCUGGAGUGGAUUUAUCCAACAGAGGUGAUCUCUUUGGGUCCAAAUUGCUGUGCUUCUGUACCCUACCUCACUCCGUCCCCAGAUGCAGGCUCUCCUAGGAAGGCUGACCUUGGCUGAGGCUGACCCUGAAGGAACUGACACCUGGGGCUGUUUGCUAAGCCGACUCCCUGAAGCUGAGCCUCAAGUCCUUCUUUGAAACACGGUUGGGGGCAGCACAUCUCCAUGGCAUGCAUAACUUGAUGAGGAGCUUGAGUUGGGCCUGACCCUGACGGGCAAGUCGGGCUUUGGAAGGCAGAAAGGAGCAGGAAGAGCUUGCCAGCUAAGCAAAACACUGUGAGCAAUGGUAUGGAGGCAGAAACAGAGGAUGUUGUGAAGAAGAGCCAAUAUGAAAACCAUUGCAGUGUGGAUGCCUGGGCAGGGAGGCUGUCACCUUGAGAAAUGGCCAAGGGCCACCUCUGGUAUGACUUUCUCUGUUGUUGCUUUCUAGCUAUCCACUGAAGCCUGUUUCUCCUGCCCACUCUAAGGAAGUCAGGCCAACAUGGGGGUGUGUCUUCCCAAGUGACCCCCGUUGGCUUUUGUUGGUUGUUCUCUAGGUUAUUGCCUUGGACAACUGAGAUUAUCUGUUUCUUCUCACAUAGAGUCUGGAUUUUCAAGGCUCAGCUCAUCCUUGACUAAGAUCGAGGUGACUUCUAGGGUAGCUGACCGGGGCCUUGAGAAUCUCCCUGGGCCCUCUCAUUCUUUUCUCUUCAUGGGCUCUUUUGAGGUGAGUGCCAAGGAUCUGGGUAGAGCUUUCCUAACUCCCAAGCUUGGAGAGGCCACUCUAGCUCUUGGACUGGCAUCUGGGCCGGAAGCCACCAGCCAGGAAACCCCUAUUUGCUGGGCAUCUAAUAGCCCCUCAGAUGGUGAAAGGCUGGUAUUUGGCCUCGAAGAUGUAUCUGUUUCCUUGGACAGCUCCAGAGCUGAAGGGACUUCAUAGGUAGUGAUUUUGUUCAACUUCACUGGUGGUCCAACGGUCUCCUUAGCUAGGCCUGGGGGAAUCAGGAGCUGUAAGAUCGGGACACAGAAACAGAGGCUUUGUCUCAUGGAGGCAGGUUUCCCGUGUCCAGCCAGCUCCCUCCCAAUGCCAGCCUUACCUGCUCCGUGCCUUCUAAGCUUUCCCACCCACCCUGUCCGUGUCUCUAGCCUCUUGUGUUUAUUUCUCUCUCCAGCCCAUGCUGCCUUUUGGGCAAAAGGGCCAUAACUUGAGUCCCUGUUGCAUGAAGUUGGAUGUCCUCUCAUGUGUCCUCAGAGGCCCCGGCUUGGGUGUUGUUGUGGUAUUUUGGGAUUUGACGAAGGAGGAGAGAUAGAAUGGCCCAUUGCCUGUUUGUGCUAGCCUCUCUCAGGCUUGACCAAUGACUGCGAUGACAUCUGUGGACAGUAAGCAGGUCCCUGGUGUGAUUGAGUUUCCUGAGUUAAUAUCAGCAUUUGAGAAGCCAGUACGCUGGCUGCUAGUUGUGCUAGUUUGUACCUGGGGCUGGGUUUGGGUUUCAGGUCCCUCCCUUCCUCCCUCUCUACCAAUGCUCGGUCUUAUUAGGAAACAUCGCAUAGCUAACAUAGCAAUUACUCUACAGGCAGCGUAAUAGAAGUCUUCAAAGGUAGAGCUAAUUAGGAACUUUCAUUAAAGAACCUUGUUGCAAUUGGUCAUUCAUUGAUAUUUUUCUGAUCAACAAAUCAAUUAGAGUUUCUUUUGAAUAAUUGCAAGAUCUUUUUUGGUUUCUUCAUGUAUAUGCACGUGUGUGCAUGUGUCUGUGUACGUGUAUGUGUAGGGAGAAAGAGAGAGAGAGAAGAGGAUAUGGAAGUUGCAGAGGUGGAUGGUGGAUUAUUUUCUGUUAACAUCCCUAGCGUGCUAAUGCAUGGACCCAUCUCAGCUCUACACACCAGCUCUGGGCAGCCAGAUAGUCUUGGAGCUUGCCUUAUAGAAAGUGGGGAUCCUAGACCCAUUUUUUUUCCUGUGGCUUCCCUGAGUCUUUCUGAACAUGACCAAAGCUUGCUUUGCAUCUCUAAACGCUGCUGGGUGGUCCUUGCCAUUGGGAUUCCGGAAUUCUGGCUCUGUCUGGGGUGACGCUUGGGUAUCUCAUUGGUACUUAUCCAACCUCAGUUGAGUUGCUAUAGAAACCAAAUCUCAUGGCCUGCUGGGGGCCUGUUUAGUUCCUUAUGUCCUCCCUCUGUCUGGGGAGAUAAUGUGGAUGGUGACACUGUAGUUCAUUGCUCAAGUGGGGAAUUCCCUGUGUCAUCCAGCAAGGCUUUUUAAGGACCCAACCACAGAAGGGAGUCAAUAACCUUUGGGCAUGUUUUUCCCCUUGCUCGGUGGGGAACAUUCACCUUCAGAGAGGCUGCCCAGCUGCUCCCCGGGACUCAGCAGGGCUCACUGGGACCGGUGGUUCCCAAGUCUUUUUGAAUGCCUGGGAAGCUCCCAGGAAACCUCCAGAGUAGUUGGGAGCCCUGGAAUUGAUAACCACCCUGAGGACAGCCUCGGUCUGUCAUCGUGGGAGACAAGAGAGGCAGAUGGCAGGGCAUUAUAGCAUUUUACAGCUCAUGGGCCAGCUGAUAGGAUAGUGAAUAUAAUUGCCAUGUGGCAAAUUAAAGUGGCUCCAAGUGAGCUAACAGGUGUCGUUUCAUUAUUAAUUUCAGUCAAAGUCAUUAGUUGCUAUUUAAGGAUCUCGCUGCUUGGCCACCUACACCAUGCUUCAUCUGGCUGCUCUGGCUUUUGAAGAAGAGAGAGAAAAGUGCUUUUUUCUCCUCCCCCUUUCUUCAUCCUUGGAGAAUUUACUGUGGUGAAAAACUGGGUAAGUCUCAGGACUCUCUUUUCCCAGCACAGAAGGAGUCUGAACAAGUAAGUGAAGUAAGUUUGUAUGCUGGCAAGCCCCAGCCCUGUUAAGUAAGGUCCUGCUAUGUGCUUGUCACCUUUCUACAUUAAAGCCUCAUAGUCUCAAAACGGUCCUUUGCACAAGGAUUUCUUUCUUUAAUGACUUAGCACACAGGUCAGUAUCCCGUGUGUGCUUAGAAAGGAUUUGUAAUCUCUAUUUCAUAUGCAGGAAGUCUCUCUUUUAUAAUUUUAAUUUUAUUUUUUAUUGAUAAUAAAUACACACAUGUACAUGUGAUAUUUAAUAUAUUAAUAUAAUUUGUAAAGGUCAAAUGAGUGUUAUUAAGAUAUCUAUCACAUUAAAUGUUUGCCUUUAUGCUAGAAACAUUUGAAUUACGCUUUUAGCUGCUUCAAGAUACACAAUAAUUUUCUUAAAUAUUGUCACCCUACUGAUCUGUCAAACACUAGGUCUUAUUUCUGCAAAGAUAUUUUUAUUUUUAUUUCUCACAUGAGGAAAUUGAGGCUGAGAAAGGUUAGAGGAAGCAGCAGAGUUGACCUAGCUAGGCAGUGGCACAGCUAGGAAUUGAUCCCUGGCCUCUGAUUCCAAAGCCCACUCCCUCUGUGUUCUACUUGAGAGCCAAUGCAGUGCCAGGCAGGGCUGAUUCCUCAUGUGCUGGGGUCUCUGAACCACCAUCCUCUCUGACUGGCAGCAUGUCAUCCUGCCCUCAUGUUCUCUGUGAAGCCUAGCCUAGCUAUAUUCCCCUCAGAAGAAUUUUCCAAGUCAUGACUACAACCCACGAAUAGCUCUGCAGAUGCCCAUGAUGGGGGCAUAGUGAUUGAUCUGAAGGAGGUUGGUGGCUAUGGUAGACCAUGAAUGCAGGGCUUCAAGACAAACAGAAACCAGUCCCUGGCCUGCAGGAGUAUCUUGGAAGCCUGCUGGGACCACAGAGACUUUGCUUUGGGAAAACAUAUAUGGGCCUCUGGGAGGGACAGCCUUUCUUCCUCUUUUGGGAGCCAGUCUGGCCCCUCGUGGGAGAAUGGUGGCCCCCAGGGGCUUUUUCUUUCCCCUGGUUUCCCUGUCUAUGUGUGUGUACCCAGCCACCCCGAUCCCGGGUGUCACCAUUUUAUCCUGUCUCUGAGAAAACACAUGAGCGGAAAAACAAACAAGCAUUAGGAAGGAGGGCUCUCCCCUCCACCUUGGCUACCUGUGCGGAGUGAGGGACCCUGAGCCAGGUAGGAGGAGGGAAGGUGACGGAGAUUAAAUAGCAGGUAUCAGACACUCAGGGAAAUGCGUUCGGAUUCACACUGAGUGGGUCAGGAGCCCCAGGUACCAAAGUCAAACAGGCUGACUCCUGUGGUGGCCUGGCUGUUUCUCUUGAAUGUGAAGGAGGAGGAGGGGAGCAUGGAGAAACCAGCGACUUAGCAAAUGUGUGCCGAGUCUAUGCAUAUAGGCGAUGGGAGUUGGACUCGGAAAAAAGCUGCCUGUAACUCCUUAGCAAGCACUUGCUGUAUGCCAGGCUCUAGAUGACAACCUUUACCUGCUCUAUCUUGAUAGGUCUUCAUAAGUAGUCUCUGGAGGUCAGUGUCAUUAUUGUGCCCAUUGUACGGGGGCGGGGGGCGGGGAUGAGGCACUGAGCAAUGAAACCUCUUGCUCAUGAUCUUACAACUAGUAAAGAAGCAGACUCAAGAGGCCAACCCAGGCUCAUCUGACUUCCAUGCCAGGUCCCUGCUAGGAUUAGGGGUAGGGAGAACAGCUUAGGAGCUGGGGCAGGAGAGGGCUUAUAGGUGGAGUACAGAAAGCCCAUCCUGGAUGGAGAGGUGGCGGGGUCCAGGUGGUGACGGGAACCCUGGGUGCCAGGCUUCUUCCUGCAGGCACCGGGAACAUUCACUCUGCUCACCUCCUGGCUCUGGAUCCUGAGGCAUCCAUUCCUCAGGGUGGCUGCUCUUGCCUGAGAGCGGGGUGGGGGUGAGAGUGAAGGCUCAACAUGGGUGCAGUGAGCGGUAAGGUAGGAAAAGCUAUGGGUGACUAGAGUGAGGUCUUGGCCCCGUAGGCAAGGACAUGCCUAAAGCAAGUGAACCUUUAGAGUCUCCUGGGUGAUCUCUUUCCUGAAACCCGCCCUCACUCUAAGACCUGUGAGUGACCCCAGCACAUCUCCUUGCUGGCUCAGUUGGGCUGGGGCUGUCCCUAGCAGAUCCAGGACAGUUCUGAAGCCAUCCUGAGGCUGUGAUGGCUCAGGUAGAAGACAAGGCCUGGAGGGAGGGAGUGAAAUCCUACUCUCCAGUCCUGCCAACUAGGGACCCUGUCUUUGUCUGCAAGACCAAAAAAAGAAAAAAAAAAAAAAAAAAAGAAAC